RNAcentral lists this long non-coding RNA (485 nucleotides) under Aotus nancymaae (Ma's night monkey). RNAcentral's name for it is "lncRNA (ENSANAG00000039027.1)". Lineage: Eukaryota; Metazoa; Chordata; Mammalia; Primates; Aotidae. The record is from RNAcentral.
GCCCACAGACCCGCCCUGGCAGCCUGGCCCACCCCAAAUCAUGUGUGUGUGUUGGGGGUGUGGGGGCUAGUGGGGCAGAGGAUAAGCAGGCUAGAAGAGCCCACUCCUACCACUGCGAUCCAGGAGGUGCCUGCAACAGUUGCCUUCCCCCCCCCACUUCUACCGCCCCCAUGGAGAUGAAAACACUGAGGUUCAGAGACGUGAGCAGUAGCUUUCUCAAGGGCCCAGAGCCAAGAAGCGUUGAAGCUUAAAAGCACGCCGUAGCAGGGAAGAUCAAGCAAGUUCUGUGCCUAUCUGCAGGUGAGCUGUUGGGUGUCACCAUUGGGAGAAAGUGGUGCCCGUGGGCAGUGGCAGUGGGGACGGUGGGUCGGGGCCUUGGCCUGGAGCUACAAGAAGUCACCGGCCUAUAGCGUGCGCCCGAGGCGGCUCCGGCGGAGGGGAGCACCAGGUCUCCCAGCUGCCAGCUGGCUCUUCGCGCUGCGUCG